This 1542-nucleotide long non-coding RNA is filed under the name Monodelphis domestica (gray short-tailed opossum). RNAcentral's name for it is "lncRNA (ENSMODG00000032687.2)". Lineage: Eukaryota; Metazoa; Chordata; Mammalia; Didelphimorphia; Didelphidae. The record is from RNAcentral.
CUUAUGUAUGUGUAAAGGAGAGAGACAGAAAAGGAGGGUGAAAGGAGACACAGAGACAGACAGACAGACACAUAGAUAGAAACCCCAAAGGGGUUUGGGCAUUGCAACCCUGGAAAACCAUCUGAGCAAAGAUAGUAGAGAGGGAAGCUGUAGGGUGCACUUGGGAAGGAGGUAUUACUAAAGUCUGGUGCCAUCCUGCUUAACCAGCUUCCAUUCACCUGCCCUUCUGUUGCCUCCCAGUUAUUUCCUUUCUGCCCUGCAGCUUUGUCUACAACCCUCUAUAUAUCUUUGUUCCCUUGCAGAAUUGAGCAGGCACAGGGCUAUCCCACAAACCUAGCCCAGAGAAUUGUGGGAGAUGUAGUUUCUGAGGAAGACAGUAUCAUCUGGCCUUGGGCAUGAACUUGGUGCUUUCUUUUCAAAGCCUCCAAGCCCAUUCCCACACCCUGGUGUGUGCUGUGGGAAGAGCCCUUUGGGCCAGGGAAAGGGGCUGGGCCCAGGCUGUUGUAGGGAAAGCCAUUUGUGGAGGGGAUCUCCAUCCAGAGCUGGUUGUGUUAUUCAGUCGCUGCAAUAAUCUCCAAGAUUUUUUAUUCUUUGUUUUUAGUUCCUCUUUUUCGCAAAAACCUGUGGUUAAGGAAUUUUGAGAACAGUUCGGAAGAUCAUGAUAUACUCUUGGGGAAUAUCUAUUUUUCUAGAGAUAAGAAAAUGUUUAAUAAGAUGAGACAGACGGAGUUACAACUUCAGCUGUAUGAGUUUCUGAAAGAAUUUUCUGACUCUUUGAGGAAGAUAAAGAAGAGGAAGGAAAUCAAUUGGGAUGAAGUGAUGCCCAAAAGGCCUCUUCUUGCAGAAAUCAUUGUGUUCGGCUGUCUGUCCAUCCUGUUUGCUUUGACUGGUGGAGCAGUUCUGUGGUUAACAUUAUAUAACCUCUUGAAGCAAGAAGACAAUGGGAAAAACAAUGGGAAAAACAAUGGGAAAAACAACGGGAGAAACAGCCUGGAAUUUAGAAAUUAUGCUGAAAUGAUAAGUUCCUCACAAUCACCAAUUGAUUCCAGGUGGGAAGUAAGGGACUCAUCUGGUAUGGACUCUGAAAAGGAAAAGCACUUCAAAGCUUUACUCCAUUCAGAUUCCUUCCAGAGUCAACGGAGCAUUAAUAGAUCUUUUAGCAGCAUGACGUGCUGUAGGGAAAUAGUUUUCUGUUGCUACCAGGACAGGAACUUGAUCCGAAAUGCACCUGUUCCAUUUUAAAAAGCAUCACUUCCAAAAGAAACUGGUAUUAUAGUCAUAAAGGGCAUUAAUUAGCUGAUACACAUCCAUAGAGGGGUGAUAAGAUUCUUGACAUGAUGCUAUUUGAACUUUGAAGUAAUUGGGAUUUGUUUAGACGUGGAGAAGAAAAGACUUUAAAAGAAAUCUGAAAAUUGUCUUCAGGUAUUUGAAGAACUGCCAUAUGGAAAAGGGAUUCAAAAUGCAGAAUGCUAUCUUUUUCUGCUUUCAGAGAGUAGAGGUUGGGGCAGGAUGAGGGAUGAAACAAGUGGAUGGGAAGAUAGG